CCACUACAAACGUUCACUGCCUCGAUCGUUUCUACCUCCACUACGUCAUUUUAUGCCACCACCACAUCGAUUUCCUCCACCUCGACCACAUGUUUUUAAGCCAUCACCACCUCAAUCUUUAUCACCUCGUCGACCACAUCAAACAAAAUCACCAUCUCCAUAGAACUAUAUAUAAUUCACCUCCGGCACCAUAUCCACCAUCUCCAUCUCUGCCACCUCGACGUUCCUAACAUUCACCUUUUAUAUCAUCUCCGUUUAAAGUUGUAAAUCCACGGUAUUACUAGGUGAGCGGGUCAGUCCUGUAAAAAUAAAAAAUUGCUCGCUCUCCCUUAAAUAUACGUGUAGGAGGGAAAGUGCACCUGUAUAUAUGGUUCUCUAUAUAUCCUUUUCUCUUUGAACCGAUUGGAAGUGUAUUAUUCUAUCCAAGUAUUUAUGAUUGUUUUCACAUAAAUUAGCUUAUCUUAUAAUUCAAAUUGUGACAUGGAAAUAUUUGUUUCGUUUGAGGAAGUAUUGAGAAAAUAUGAUUUUCUAACUUUUCUAUAUUGGGGGAGGGGAGGGUGAGUGGUUCUGAUCAUUCUUAUAUAUUCUGCGUAUUGUAGUUGUUCAUGAAUUCAAUAUAUGUAGUAUUGAAUAUGUAUAUAUCCAUGUAUAGUAAUUUCCAUUUGUACUUCAAGAGACUGCUUCAUUGAAUUCAUUUUAUUAAUUCACCACAUAUGAGAAGUGAUGCAAAGAAAAAAGAAGGUAAAGAGAAAAAACUUGCUAAGUUAUUAAUGUGUAGAAAUAAUUCGACUCAGAAGAUCUUAAAUUCUUUGAGAUUGAAAGAGAAUAGAAGAGGGACAAAGAAAGGAACUAAUGAAAAUUACAUUUUUUGCAUCUCCAGAUUAACGUUAAAUCGAUACUAAUAAAAAUUUUAUCUACUCUCACAGAACAACUUUAUUGAAAAUUUGCAAAAAAAAAAAAAAAAAUCAAACCCUUAUGGUUAGCGAGAACUGACCUUUUGGUUUUGUUUCAGACCGGAAAAAAAUUUACUCAUAAUUUAAUUGGGCCUUAUCUUCAAUUGUUGGAAACCAUUUUGCAAAUUUGAAUUCAAAAUUUGAUGAGUUUUGACAACUGAUUUGAGGUGUAUUCCGAUUGAAAUUUCAGUUGAAACUCAAGCUUCUUAGAUUUGAAGAAUUCGAAUUUCUUGGUAGUCUUGAUUCUAUUAACUUUUGUUUUUCUUUUUCUUUAGCUAAUUGAUAGAAUUAAUUAAGCUUCCAUUCUUUCCAUUAAAAUGUCAAUUGUUAACUCUGAUUAUAGAGGAGAGACAUUGAGACGGGGAGAGAGGAACAAGGAGAAUGGGUGUCUGAUUUAAUAUUUUUAAUGUAUAUCUAUUUUUAAUACUUUUGGGAGGGGAUUAAAAAAAAUAAAAUAAAAAAUAAAAAAAUUUCUUUCCCUCUUAUGCGCUAGUUUGGGAGAAUGAAAAUACUGCAUUCGCCACGUCACAAUUUAGGAUAGUAUUAAAUUCACCCCAAACAAAAAUAGAAAGAAUAUAGGUCGUCCGUUUAGUUAAGAUGUGUAAAUGACUUUUUCGGACAAAUUUAAUGAGGUAUUUAUGCAUUAUCUCUUUUUUUAAUGCGUUAUUUGCAACAAAAAAUUUCUCGUCCCUAAUAUUUCGGACGAACAACUUAAUAAUUAGAGAUGUUUCAUGUUUGAACCCAUUAUAAAAAAAUAGAGCAAAAAUAAAAUGUAAUUUUAAAUUCCACCUUGUGUACUAAGAACAAAAAGGCAAAAGACACUAGAAAUUCCAAGCUAAUGUAAAUACGUAAAGGAAUUUAAAGUGAUGGCACAAAGUUAAAAGAAUGGUUCUGAACCAAAAAAUAGAGAUGAAUUUUUCAUUUUUUAUUCGUAAUAAAAGUUAGCGCUCGUACUUAGUAUUCAUAUAUGAAACUUUAAAGCUACUCCCUCCAUUCAUUUUACUUGUCCAAUAUUAAUUUUGUACACUUCUUAAUAAAUAAUAAAUAAAAUAUAUAAUUUAUCAUGAUAUCCAUAUUAAUUGAUAAAUUUUUAAUGGAUUUGAGAAAUAAUUUGAAAUGAAUAAAUAAUAAAAUAGAUAUAACAUAAAAAAAGAAAUUGUCUUUUUUUGAAGUGCUAAAAAUAAUAAGUAAAAAUAAAAAUUUAUUUUUAAAAUACUGAAUAAGUAAAGUGCACGGAGGUAGUAUUUUACUAUCUCCUUAAAUGGAAAAAAGGUAACUCUGUCGAAUACAUAUAGCGAAAAAAAAAAGAGGAAAGAAUUUAUAAGGAGACACGUAUCAAAAGAGUGACAACUAAACUAGUUUUAUAGGAAAUUGUUUGAGAGUUUUAAACAAACAUCCAUGCCUUUGUUAUUAUUCCAUAUAUAAGGGCAACCACUUGUUGAACCUUGCUAAACACAAUCAAAGUUAUAAGCAUAGAGUUAACUAUGAGAAUCCCUGGGUAUCUUGUCCCGUGGUUUCAUGUUGUUUUUGCUUUAACUUCUUGCUUUAUAGCUGUUGGUGUAUCUUUAGAUUAUGUGCUAUCCAUAAAUGCCAUUUCGUUAUCUCCCCACAAUUACGAAUCAUUACAAUGUUGGUGUCUCUUUAGAUUAUGUGCUAUCCAUAAAUGCCAUUUCGUUAUCUCCCCACAGUCACGAAUUAUUACAGGUUUCAUCACCUUCAACUUCACCAUCUCUAUCUCCACUUUCACCUCUGCCUCCAAUUCCUUUGAUCCCACCUUCAAUGCCUCCAUCUCUGUCUCCUUCUCCGUCUCCAUCUCCACAUCCACCUCGAUCAUCUCCACCUCCACCUCCACCUCCAUCACCGUCUCCGCCUUCACCUCCAUCACCUCGGUCUCCACAUCAACCUCGAUCAUCUCCACCUCCACCUCCACCUCCAUCACCUUCUCCGCCUUCACCUCCACCUCCACCUCCACCUUCACCUCCACCCCCACCGUCGUCUGUCUCUCCGUCUCCACCUCCACUUCUAUCAUCUCCACCUCCACCUCCACCUCCACCAUCGUCUCUCUCUCCGUCUCCACCUCCACCUCAAUCAUCUCCACCUCCACCUCCGCCUCCGCCUCCAUCUCCAUUCCCACCACGUCUUCCCAAAUAUAGAUCACCACCGCCACCUCCAUCUCCAUCACCUCCGCGCCACUACAAACCAUCACCGCCUCGAUCGUUUCCACCUCCACCACGUCAUUUUAUGCCACCAACACAUCGAUUUCCUCCACCUCGACCACAUGAUUUUAAGCCAUCACCACCUCAAUCUUUAUCACCACGUCCACCACAUCAAACAAAAUCACCAUCUCCAUAGAACUAUAUAUAAUUCACCUCCGGCACCAUAUCCACCAUCUCCAUCUCUGCCACCUCGACGUUCCUAACAUUCACCUUUUAUAUCAUCUCCGUUUAAAGUUAUAAAUCUACGGUAUUACUAGGUGAGCGGGUCAGUCCUGUAAAAAGAAAAAAUUGCUCGCUCUCCCUCAAAUAUACGUGUAGGAGGGAAAGUGCAC
RNAcentral lists this long non-coding RNA (3501 nucleotides) under Nicotiana benthamiana. RNAcentral's name for it is "long non-coding RNA (NBEN_LNC038749)". Lineage: Eukaryota; Viridiplantae; Streptophyta; Magnoliopsida; Solanales; Solanaceae. The record is from RNAcentral.